This is a small nuclear RNA of Lepus europaeus (European hare), 163 nucleotides long. RefSeq annotates it as U1 spliceosomal RNA. The record is from RefSeq and is a predicted model, not a curated record. Lineage: Eukaryota; Metazoa; Chordata; Mammalia; Lagomorpha; Leporidae. The transcript has a single exon.
CAACAGGCCUGGCAAGGGAAACGCCAUUAUCCCGCAGGUGGUUUUCCCAGGUCAAAGCUCUUCCAUUGCACUGCGGAUGUGCUGAUCCCUGCAAUCUCCACAAAUGUGGGAAUCUUGACUGCAUAAUUUGUGGUAGUCGGGGACUGAGUUUGCACGAAUUGAA